RNAcentral lists this ribosomal RNA (253 nucleotides) under uncultured bacterium. RNAcentral's name for it is "partial 16S ribosomal RNA". It matches the Rfam family "Bacterial small subunit ribosomal RNA", at positions 524 to 776 of the family's 1533-position model. The record is from RNAcentral.
UACGUAGGUGGCAAGCGUUAUCCGGAAUUAUUGGGCGUAAAGGGAGCGUAGGCGGAUAUUUAAGUGGGAUGUGAAAUACUUGGGCUCAACCCGAGAACGGCAUUCCAAACUGGAUAUCUAGAGUGCAGGAGAGGAGAGUGGAAUUCCUAGUGUAGCGGUGAAAUGCGUAGAGAUUAGGAAGAACACCAGUGGCGAAGGCGACUCUCUGGACUGUAACUGACGCUGCGGAUCCAAAGCGUGGGGAGCGACCUGC